AUCCCAUGGUGUGGACAUCUCCUUUUGUAAAUCUUUGUAUCUCUCCCAUGCUGCAUGCAAGUUCUCAUCAUCUCUAGGUUUGAAAGAAGUCAACUCAUUUUUUAGCUU
This is a small nucleolar RNA of Hevea brasiliensis (rubber tree), 108 nucleotides long. Lineage: Eukaryota; Viridiplantae; Streptophyta; Magnoliopsida; Malpighiales; Euphorbiaceae. The record is from RefSeq and is a predicted model, not a curated record.